GCCAUUUUUCUCUCUAAAAUGUUUUAUUAGGGUGACAUUGCUCGAAUGGACUUUUCCUUAUGUUAAUUCGAUUUUUGUUUUAGGUGGCAUUUGCUCAUGAGGUUACUUCAAUGUGGAGCAAUCAUGAAAUUACUUAGCUCUUUUAUCAAGCUUCACACCUUGAAAAUAUGUUGUUAGCCUAUGAUGGAAAAGCCUUUGUAUUUGUUUUUAGUCCAUUGCCCUUCGAGUCUAAAGAAUUUUACGAUAAAAUCUUUGAAAACGAUGAGUAUAACAUAAUUUCAAAUAAUUUAUGUUGAUUAUCAUUUCUUUUAAAAACAUCGUAUUAUGCAGUUGUUGGUAUGUAUUUUAGUAUGGAUAAGAUUUUUAUGUUACAAUUAUGUUUGCUGCCAAUAGCUACCUGAGGCAUUUCAUGAAUUGUAAGGUGGCUAACAACCCACAAUAAAAUAUUCACACUCUCAAUGUGGUUCUAUGGGAUUAUGCUCUAAUAGGGUAACAUGGUUCUAAGUGAUUUUUCUUUAAUCGGUCAGUGGUUGCGCCAUCAUUGUACAAAAACCAAUUUUGCUAAGGUGGACAUAGUGAUGGCAUUCAAUAUUAGAAAUGGUUUUAUCAAAGUCCACAACUAACACAAAUGGGGUUAUCACUCACUGUUGGUAUACACCUCUAACCGUUAUACUGUGUUAGUUUGACUAACACUAUUCAUGUUGGGAUUUUAAUACAAGUUUUCACUGCUUGAUUCUAAACAACAACAACGACAAAAACAACAAAUAAAUGUAGACGGUUUGCAGACUCUUCCAGACGCCCCUGGUUUGGCUUUCGGUGGCUAAUUAAAUAAAAUGUUGUGUACUUUGUGCAUAGAGGAUACUGGUUUGUUGAUGCUAGUGAACUUUUAGAGUAUGACCAACAAGGGGAUAUGAAAUUUAUGUUCAGUCUUAGACUCUCAUCCUUUCUCACCCCUCCUAAGCUGACGAACACGAAGGACAACUUUAAGUUACCUUUUUGUCUGCUCUCUUUGUAGAUCAUUUUAAUCAAAGUGUUAAAAGGGUUGAUUGGCAUUUUGUAAUCACCGAGUUCACACUUAGCCGAAGAUCUGAGUUAAAAUUCUCGUUUCCUCCCCGUAUGAACUUCACUUUCACUUUUAAUUCGUAUACAUUGAAUAUCACUACACACAUCAGGUUCAUUUGCACAUACGACUGCGAGAAGGUGAUAGUGGAGGAGGGUAGCAAGGAUCAUCGACCCUCACCAUAUGAAUAUGGCUUUGUUUCGUAUGGCAAAUCUAUCCUACAUGAUCUCAUUUAUCAAUGUGGAGUCCUAUAAUCCUGUAUACAUUAACCUCCCUCAAUCUUCAAUGAGUUAUUAGAAGACCCAAGGUGCCCUAUAUGAAUACAUGAUCUCAUUUAUCAAUGUGGAGUCCUAUAAUCCUGUAUACAUUAACCUCCCUCAAUCUUCAAUGAAUUAUCAGAAGACCCAAGGUGCCCUAUAUGAAUACACCCAUGAGUUCCUAUCGUAUUAUCUAUACAAGUGGCUUGUUAUCUUAAAUGAUGCUAUAAGCAUCCAUAUCCUCGGGGUUACUCUGUGAAAUCUGUCACUUUUUUUCGUAUAAACAACGAUUAAACGUGA
Helianthus annuus (common sunflower) is the source of this 1617-nucleotide long non-coding RNA. RefSeq lists it as uncharacterized. Lineage: Eukaryota; Viridiplantae; Streptophyta; Magnoliopsida; Asterales; Asteraceae. The transcript has 2 exons. The record is from RefSeq and is a predicted model, not a curated record.